GCCUGAUGCGCCAUGCCGCGUGUAUGAAGAAGGCCUUCGGGUUGUAAAGUACUUUCAGUUGUGAGGAAGGGGGUGUCGUUAAUAGCGGCAUCUCUUGACGUUAGCAACAGAAGAAGCACCGGCUAACUCCGUGCCAGCAGCCGCGGUAAUACGGAGGGUGCGAGCGUUAAUCGGAAUUACUGGGCGUAAAGCGCAUGCAGGUGGUUCAUUAAGUCAGAUGUGAAAGCCCGGGGCUCAACCUCGGAACUGCAUUUGAAACUGGUGAACUAGAGUACUGUAGAGGGGGGUAGAAUUUCAGGUGUAGCGGUGAAAUGCGUAGAGAUCUGAAGGAAUACCAGUGGCGAAGGCGGCCCCCUGGACAGAUACUGACACUCAGAUGCGAAAGCGUGGGGAGCAAACAGGAUUAGAUACCCUGGUAGUCCACGCCGUAAACGAUGUCUACUUGGAGGUUGUGGCCUUGAGCCGUGGCUUUCGGAGCUAACGCGUUAAGUAGACCGCCUGGGGAGUACGGUCGCAAGAUUAAAACUCAAAUGAAUUGACGGGGGCCCGCACAAGCGGUGGAGCAUGUGGUUUAAUUCGAUGCAACGCGAAGAACCUUACCUACUCUUGACAUCCAGAGAAGCCAGCGGAGACGCAGGUGUGCCUUCGGGAGCUCUGAGACAGGUGCUGCAUGGCUGUCGUCAGCUCGUGUUGUGAAAUGUUGGGUUAAGUCCCGCAACGAGCGCAACCCUUAUCCUUGUUUGCCAGCGAGUAAUGUCGGGAACUCCAGGGAGACUGCCGGUGAUAAACCGGAGGAAGGUGGGGACGACGUCAAGUCAUCAUGGCCCUUACGAGUAGGGCUACACACGUGCUACAAUGGCGCAUACAGAGGGCAGCGAACUUGCGAGAGUGAGCGAAUCCCAAAAAGUGCGUCGUAGUCCGGAUUGGAGUCUGCAACUCGACUCCAUGAAGUCGGAAUCGCUAGUAAUCGUAGAUCAGAAUGCUACGGUGAAUACGUUCCCGGGCCUUGUACACACCGCCCGUCACACCAUGGGAGUGGGCUGCAAAAGAAGUGGGUAGUUUAACCUUCGGGAGGACGCUCACCACUUUGUGGUUCAUGACUGGGGUGAAUCG
Molecule: ribosomal RNA, 1113 nt
Filed under: Vibrio sp. 7825M
Lineage: Bacteria; Pseudomonadati; Pseudomonadota; Gammaproteobacteria; Vibrionales; Vibrionaceae
Description: bacterial SSU rRNA
Rfam family: Bacterial small subunit ribosomal RNA
Source: RNAcentral